Molecule: ribosomal RNA, 454 nt
Filed under: uncultured bacterium
Lineage: Bacteria
Description: partial 16S ribosomal RNA
Rfam family: Bacterial small subunit ribosomal RNA
Source: RNAcentral
GAUGAACGCUGACAGAAUGCUUAACACAUGCAAGUCAACUUGAACUUCGGUUUGGGUGGCGGACGGGUGAGUAACGCGUAAAGAACUUGCCUCACAGCUAGGGACAACAUUUGGAAACGAAUGCUAAUACCUGAUAUUAUGAUUUUAGGGCAUCCUAGAAUUAUGAAAGCUAUAUGCGCUGUGAGAGAGCUUUGCGUCCCAUUAGCUAGUUGGAGAGGUAACGGCACACCAAGGCGAUGAUGGGUAGCCGGCCUGAGAGGGUGAACGGCCACAAGGGGACUGAGACACGGCCAUUACUGCUACGGGAGGCAGCAGUGGGGAAUAUUGGACAAUGGACCAAGAGUCUGAUCCAGCAAUUCUGUGUGCACGAUGAAGUUUUUCGGAAUGUAAAGUGCUUUCAGUUGGGAAGAAAAAAAUGACGGUACCAACAGAAGAAGUGACGGCUAAAUACGUG